Molecule: ribosomal RNA, 253 nt
Filed under: uncultured bacterium
Lineage: Bacteria
Description: partial 16S ribosomal RNA
Rfam family: Bacterial small subunit ribosomal RNA
Source: RNAcentral
UACGGGGGGGACAAGCGUUGUUCGGAAUUACUGGGCGUAAAGGGCUCGUAGGCGGCCAACUAAGUCAGACGUGAAAUCCCUCGGCUUAACCGGGGAACUGCGUCUGAUACUGGAUGGCUUGAGGUUGGGAGAGGGAUGCGGAAUUCCAGGUGUAGCGGUGAAAUGCGUAGAUAUCUGGAGGAACACCGGUGGCGAAGGCGGCAUCCUGGACCAAUUCUGACGCUGAGGAGCGAAAGCCAGGGAGCAAACGGGG